ACUCCUACGGAAGGCAGCAGUGGGGAAUAUUGCACAAUGGGGGAAACCCUGAUGCAGCGACGCCGCGUGGGUGACGAAGGCCUUCGGGUUGUAAAGCCCUGUGGGGUAGAACGAACUGGCAUCGGGCUAAUAUCUCGGUGUCUUGACGGUACUGCCUUAGCAAGCAUCGGCUAACUCUGUGCCAGCAGCCGCGGUAAUG
Molecule: ribosomal RNA, 199 nt
Filed under: uncultured bacterium
Lineage: Bacteria
Description: partial 16S ribosomal RNA
Rfam family: Bacterial small subunit ribosomal RNA
Source: RNAcentral